UUGAUGAAGAUUCUGAAGAUAAAGUUGGUCUUAUUUCUAAAGACCCUUUCUGCCUUCCUGAGGAAGAUAUAGAAAGGAUGGUGACUGACUGUUUGACCAGUUGUUCUCAGGACUUAGCUACCUUCGCUGAUGUGGCUGUGAACUUCACCUGAGAGGAGCAGACUUUACUGGACCCAACUCAGAAAAUGUGUCCAGAGAUGUGAUGCUGGAGAACUACAAGAACCUGACCACAGUAGGGUAUCCGUUGUCCAAACCCAGUCUGAUCUCCUGGUUGGAAGAAGAGUUGAGGACAGUGGAGAGAGAAGAGUCUUCCAAGAAUGGGAAAUGCAGUUUAAAACCAAAGACUCAGCAGUUCAGCAUGAUGGUUUUCGGGAAAAAACAUACAAUAUGGUAGAAACGGAAAGGAUCCGCAAUGAGUGGGAACUCUAUGAUUUCGAGCAAUGUGGAAAAGUCAUCAGUGAACAUUCAUGCCUUAAGAUGCACAGGAGAACUCAGAAUGGAGGGAACAGUGAUGAGGAUAAUCAGCAUGGGAAAAGUUUUUUUACUCUGCCCAAGAAAACCUCUACUGGAGAGAAACCUGCCAUGUUUAAUCAGGUGGGAAAAGCCAUCAGCCCACCUCCAGAUCUUGUGUACUGGAAAACCAGCAUGCAAGAGAAAGCCUUUGAAUGUAGCGUCAGUCGGAAAGCCCUUGUGAAUCAGUCAUACCUUCAGCACCCAAUGAAAAUUCACAAUAGAGAAAAACUAGAUGAAUAGAAGGAAUGUGGGAAAUCUUUGAUUCAGUCCACAAGCCUUGGUGUGCAUGUAGAAACUAACACUGGUAACAGUCAUUACGAAUGUAAGGAAUGUGGAAAAUACUUUCAGCGGUCUUCAUACCUUAAUGCUCAUGUUCAAAUUCACACUGCAAUAAAACCCUUCAAACUUAAGGAAUGUGGGAAAGCCUUUAUUCAGUUUUUUGAACUUACUGAAUCUGCAAACACUCAAUGUGGAGAGAAGCCUUUUAAAUGUGACACAUGUGGGGCCGGCCCCAUGGCUUAGCAGUUAAGUGUGCGCUCCGCUGCUGGCGGCCUGGGUUCGGAUCCCGGGUGCUCACCGACGCACCGCUUCUCUGGCCAUGCUGAGGCUGUGUCCCACAUACAGCAACUAGAAGGAUGUGCAGCUAUGACAUACAACUAUCUACUGGGGCUUUGGGGGGAAAAAAAAAGGAGGAGGAUUGGCAAUAGAUGUUAGCUCAGAGCCAGUCUUCCUCAGCAAAAAGAGGAGCAUUAGCACGGAUGUUAGCUCAGGGCUGAUCUUCCUCACAAAAAAACAAAAUAAAUAAAUGUGACAGAUUUUGGAAAGCCUUUGCUAUUUCCUCAGAUGUUACUAACCAUUUUUGAACUCACGCUGGAAAGAAGCAUUUUGAGUGUUAUAUGUGUGGGAAAGUGUUUACUGGUUCUUUGUCAUUUAUCAAUCACAAGUGUACUCACACUGGAGAGAAACCCUGUGAAUGUAACGAAUGUGGAAAAGCCUACAUUUUUCCACUUCCUUUCAGUAUCAUGAAAGAGCUCAUCUCUAGAGAAAUCCUAUGAAUGUAAGGAGUGUGGUUAAGCUCUCAGGAACCCUGAUUCACUUCAAAGACAUGAUAGUAUCACACUGCAGAGAUGCUUUCCAAAUGUAAGAAAUGAGGGAGAGCCAUCAGAAUCUCCGCACCACCCAGUAUAUAAGUACAGUGAAGCCAUCCUAUUAAGAAGCUGGAAAGCCCUCCUUAGCUGUUUCCUCAGUGAAAUAUUUAUAUUUUUAUAUAUGAGAGAACUUGUAGUGGGGAGAGAUCUAACUGAUGUAACAUUUGUGGGAAAAUUGUUCUGCUGGUGUUCACUUGUGAUCUCGCUGUGGAGAAAAACUUUAUGGAUGUAAAAAGUGUAGAGUCAUCAAUAUUUUCCAUUAGAUGGUUUCACAUCCUUAAUAAACAUGAUGUGGUUCACAGGAAAGAGAAACUAAAUAUAGGAAAUAUGGGAAGUACUACCCUGAGUGUGAACCUUAGGGUCUUCUGAGAUGCAUAAUGUUCUGGGUGGUUCUAUAGCUGCCAGGUCCCACAGUCUGUUCCGGCGUUCAUUCGCCACAAAGAUUUGGGUCGAGAAAUGCUGUGAGGGCACAUGCCCGGGGUCUUAUCAUCCACUGAGCUUCAAAAGUCUCCUAAGCAACCUUUGUGACUCAUCUCCAGAAAGAAAAGAAUUUCUGCUGUUGGAGUGACGUUGACUCAGCCCGCACAUCUUCCCGUCCUCACGGAUCUGGCAAUUCUGGCCUAUUCUGGGGAGCACUGGGUGAAUGUUGGUUCUAGAGGGCAUCUGUUUCCUUUUGUAUGCAAAAAAAUGUUUCAUCUGGGAAUUUGGUUGUCUUGGCGUGUCUUGGCGCAUCCUUAUUUUUGACUUAUUACAUUCAGGUAGAAAGAUACUUACUUAGAUGUCUAUGAUGUGCAUAUUUCUAUGUAUAAAUAUAAUCAUAUGUAGAAAACAAGUGUUUCUACUAAAGAAAAACAAGAAUACUCACCUAUCUCCUCAUCUGAACUUCCUAUGCCUGUACAUCUCCAUAGAGCUUCAAAACAGGGUCCUCUGGGACAAAAGGAUGGAGACUUUAUUACACUGGUUCUAGAAUAAUUAAAUUUACCAUUCACAGAA
Long non-coding RNA from Diceros bicornis minor, 2654 nucleotides. RefSeq lists it as uncharacterized. NCBI's taxonomy places the organism in Eukaryota, Metazoa, Chordata, Mammalia, Perissodactyla, Rhinocerotidae. The record is from RefSeq and is a predicted model, not a curated record. The transcript has 6 exons.